UUGUUAGGGAUUGUAACGAUGUAAAUGUGCAGUCAAGUUAGUUAUUUUUGAGGCCGUAUUAGUCAAAAGACAAGGAAAUUAGAUAGUGUUUUUUAUUUCAUUGUAUAUUAUUUUUUUUGUGUUUUUAUUUUAAUUUAACUUGUUGAAUAUUUAGCUUAUUCAUGGUUACUAACAAUGGGUAUAGGUGGUCAGGUGACCAAUAAAACUAUGAAGAGUAGUUAAGUUCGG
This 228-nucleotide long non-coding RNA is filed under the name Gossypium raimondii (Peruvian cotton). Its description in RNAcentral is "long non-coding RNA (GRAI_LNC010843)". The record is from RNAcentral. Lineage: Eukaryota; Viridiplantae; Streptophyta; Magnoliopsida; Malvales; Malvaceae.